This 371-nucleotide ribosomal RNA is filed under the name uncultured organism. RNAcentral's name for it is "bacterial SSU rRNA". It matches the Rfam family "Bacterial small subunit ribosomal RNA", at positions 526 to 896 of the family's 1533-position model. The record is from RNAcentral.
CGGAGGGUGCAAGCGUUAUCCGGAAUCAUUGGGUUUAAAGGGUCCGCAGGCGGACUUAUAAGUCAGUGGUGAAAGCCUACAGCUUAACUGUAGAACUGCCAUUGAUACUGUAAGUCUUGAAUUCGGUCGAAGUGGGCGGAAUAUGACAUGUAGCGGUGAAAUGCUUAGAUAUGUCAUAGAACACCGAUAGCGAAGGCAGCUCACUAGGCUUGGAUUGACGCUCAGUGGACGAAAAGCGUGGGGAGCAAACCAGGAUUAGAUACCCUGGUAGUCCACGCCGUAAACUAUCAAUACUCGUUCUCGGCGAUAUACAGUCGGGGACUAAGCGAAAGUGAUAAGUAUUGCACCUGGGGAGUACGAUCGCAAGGUUG